UGGGGAAUUUUGGACAAUGGGCGCAAGCCUGAUCCAGCCAUGCCGCGUGAGUGAAGAAGGCCUUCGGGUUGUAAAACUCUUUCGUCGGGGACGAUAAUGACGGUACUAUUUAUAAGGUCCGGCUAACUACGUGCCAGCAGCCGCGGUAAUACGUAGGGACCAAGCGUUGUUCGGAUUUACUGGGCGUAAAGGGCGCGUAGGCGGCAAUUCAAGUCAUCUGUGAAAUCUCCGGGCUUAACUCGGAACGGUCAGAUGAUACUGCUUUGCUAGGGUGCAGAAGGGGCAAUCGGAAUUCUUGGUGUAGCGGUGAAAUGCGUAGAUAUCUGAAGGAACACCAGUGGCGAAGGCGGCUUCCUGGACCAAUACUGACACUGAGACGCGAAAGCGUGGGGAGCAAACAGGAUUAGAUACCCAUGUAAGUCCCUGAGCGGGCUGGCAAGGCGCAU
RNAcentral lists this ribosomal RNA (446 nucleotides) under uncultured bacterium. RNAcentral's name for it is "bacterial SSU rRNA". It matches the Rfam family "Bacterial small subunit ribosomal RNA", at positions 355 to 825 of the family's 1533-position model. The record is from RNAcentral.